Molecule: long non-coding RNA, 5444 nt
Filed under: Homo sapiens (human)
Lineage: Eukaryota; Metazoa; Chordata; Mammalia; Primates; Hominidae
Description: HSALNT0234963
Source: RNAcentral
CAGGUAACAACAGAGAAGGGACAUGCGGGAACAGUCGGAGACUCCAGCUCUGCAGACAGGGGUUGAAGCUGGGAGAGAGACACAUCAAUGCAUGCCGGCUGUCUAUACGGAUGGGCUCAGCAGGAAAACUGGCUGUUCCAUCACCUCCUAUGUCAACCUCCGUGGCUCCGUCUCCUCAGCUGUCCUGAGUGGGCACUUCCCCAGCAAAGGCAGCAAGCUGAAGAAGGCUGGAAUAAGAUUGAUGACACUGGUUAGUAGCUUCAAUGCAUGGCGGACUUACUGCAUACAGGGCCGGUGAAAAGCCUCCCUCUUCCCAAUGCUACCUGCCAGCUACGCUUCUCGGCAGAUGUUUCUGGACUUCAGUGGCCUCAUUUGCAAGCUGAGAGGGCUGAACAGAUGAACCCUACACUCUUCUGUCUGAAGUUUCUGUGCUCCCAAAUGUCUUCAUUUUAAAGAGGAGGUGGGGAAGAGAUGGAAACUUCUAAACUAAGUGCCUCGCCCAGACAGCUCUCCUCAAAGAAGGGGAGCAACCCCAACCCCUCCCCAGCAGUGAGGGUCCUGAACCCACCCUUGGCCCAUCACCCACCCCCAGCCCACAGCAAGGGUCCAUCCCUGCCUCCCUUAAGAUGGGGAAAUGGGUCUCUUGGGCUGCCAGUAUGUGAGCCUGCUCUCCCCAGAAGGCAUAAUCCCUAGUAGGUGAGAUUGUUGAGAAUAACGCUGGGGGGUCCUCUAGCCCGGAAACCCUGCAAGCUGACAUGGGGCCUUCUCAAUCCCCGUUCCCACCACACAGAGCUGCAUUCCUGGAAAAUGACACGGCGCCAAGAGGUUUUUAAUAGAAAUGACCCUGCUGAUCAUCCCAGCCACCCUGUGAGUACACACAGAGUAUCAGGAAAACCUUGUUUUUCAAAUGAAGACACUGAGGCUGGAAGCCACGCAGUGACUUGUCUGGGCUCUGGCCCAGCAGAGCCUCACAUGCAAAUCUCAGGAUCCUAAACACCAUUUUCAUUGCUUUCUUUCCCCAAAAUGUUUGUGGUCUCUUUUGUGUCAGGUAAAGCACUAGUCACUUUCUACAAAGCCUUGCACGUUUUAUGUUGGAUUAUUCUGCUAUUUUGGCAAAUAAUGUGAAAGUGUUUAAGCACUUUUAUGUCAAACCUAAUUUCCUUUCAACAUCAUGUGAUAAUACCAGAAGUUGGCAGGGGAAAUUUUGUUGUUUUUCUCUUAUUUUUAAGUUAAAUAUUAAUGAUAAAAAAGAACCAUCAAUAAGAGCCCCUUGCAGUCCCUGAGCUCUUCACAUCCUGGUGACUAUUUUUACUGGGAAGAUGCUUUUAUUUCUGACUCUGCAUGGUAACUGGGAUGACAUCAAUUAUUUGUUUGUUACCUCCCAAAUUAUCAAGGAGCCGAUGAUCUAAUGAUGAUGAUCAAUGACACAGGUGAUAGAUGAUGUCACAAUCUGAACACCUGCCGGGUGCCACCCAGCACCUUUCCUGCAUCGCCUCCCAUAUCCUCUGAGGACCCAAGAUCCACUUUAGUAUUUGCCACAUAGUAAAUGCUCAGAAAAUACCAGCGCAGUCACUCUUCUCUGGAGUCCAAUCUUCCCUGAACAGGUGCUCCUGCGCCCAUUUUAUAGGUGAGCAAACCGAGGAUAGAAAGUUUACAUCACUCCCUCAGGAUCCUGCAGCCAGUAUUUAAAUGCGAGGACAUGUUCUUUCUUCUACCUAUUGCUUGUGAAGCUAGGAAGGAGAUGGGGGUGAGGAAGGAGCAGAGCCCGAGGAAGGUGAAAAUACCAGAAGAAAAAUGGAAGGUGGAGGCCGGGCACAGUGGCUCACACCUGUAAUCCCAGCACUUUGGGGGGCUGAGUCGGGUGGAUCGCCUAAGAUCAGGAGUUCAAGACCAGCCUGGCUAACUGGGUGAAACCUUGUCUCUACCAAAAAUACAAAAAUUAGCCAAGUAUGGUAGUGCACACCUGUAAUUCCAGCUACUGGGGAAGCUGAGGCAGAAGAAUUGCUUGAACCUGGUAUGUGGAGACUGCAGUGAGCCAAGAUUGUGCCAUUGCACCCCAGCACUCCAGCCUGGGCAGCAGAGCAAGACCUCAUCUCAAAAAAAAAAAAAAAAAAGAAAGAAAGAAGAAUGGAAAGUGGAGAACAGGUGGUCUUAACAAGUUGUCCAGAGGAGGAGGAAAUGGAUAGCCCCAGGGCCCUCGUCCUUGGCACAUAUGCACAUGAACAGACCAAACCUGCCAGGUGGGCUUGAGGUUGGAAGGAGCCACAGGGCUGUGUCUACACUGUCCAGUAUGGAAGCACCCAACCACCUGCCACCACGGAACACGUGAAAAGUGUCGAGGUGGCUGCCACAUUGCACCACACAGCUGGAGAAGGCUGAGAAGAGGGGGAUGGAGAGACCCUCCCCUCCAAGGGAGAGGUGCAAGGGGGGCCUCUCUGCCCUCCAGGGCUCAGUAUCAAUGGUGGGAGACUGCCUUCAUCCCCCAGAACACACUCCUGGGACAGCUGCAAAUAGGGAACCCCCAAAGCCCAGCAGCUGUGGGAGGUGAAGGGGCAGCUCGGUUACAGACCAGGCUGCAAAGCAUCUGUCUAAAAGGUCAGUGUCCACAAGAAGCACAUCAUCUGACCACCCAGCAGUUUCCCGGCACCAGCUCCAUGUCCAGCCCUGUGUUAGGUCCAGCUGAAUCAGCAACUUACUGGGGAAGUCAUGUCUCUAAGAAAGGAGCCCUCAGGCCUGCAGAGGCUCUGUUAGCCCCACUGCAGACAGCAGAACCCAGAAAACACUGGUGAGAGCAGCGGCCCCGGGAGAGGAUCCUGGAGGACAAUCAUCCUCACACCCUCGUAGAAGGCAGGCAGGUGUACCAGUCAGGGUCCGGGCAGAAAAGAGGACCAGGUGCAGAUCAUUCAUAGGAAGAGACGGCGAGGAAGAGGCCUUAACAAAGGGGAGGGCAGAUUCCAGAACAAACAUGAAACAUGGGGGAAGAGCGAGAAGCUGACUAGGGUCAAAGGGUCAGAGGAGGAGACAAGGCUGCAGAGGGAGCGGUCAGGGCUGUGGUCCCAGAGAAGCAGGGAUCAGGCAGUCAGGAGGUGGCCAGACCAACUGAGGAGCAGGAAACAGAUAAGGAAACCAAAGCUCAGAGAGGUUAAGUAACUGGCCCCACAUCACUCAGCUAGAAGGAAGUAAUAGAGCUGGAAUUUGAACCCAGGCUACAAGUUGGGGGUGUCCGCAUUGAUUUUUGAGUAGGUUUGAGUAGUAGCCUCUCUCUUUCCACCCAGGGGUCUCCUGCGGGGCUUCCCAUUGGCUGACGGGAAGAAGCGUGAGGCAGAGUAACCCUGGCAAUGAACUUGAGGGAUCCACUGAGGGCUUUCUACAAUUCCCACAAGAUGCUGUUGCCCUUCCCCAUCCAAGAGGAUGCCAGAGCCCAUGUGAUGACCUUGUUAUCGUUAAGAGGCUUGAAAAAGCAAAACAAGAUCGUCCUGUCUCUGGAUGCACCUUUGAUGCCUCCAUUCUAUCAGGCAAGCAAGGCCCUGGAAACAUCCUUUCUCUCCAGCAGAGGAGCCUGAUAGGUUGACAGGGAACCCUGGUCUCUGGACUCCCAGGCUUAAUCUGGGCCAACAGAGGAAGGGGUUUCCUGAGAAGUGAGACCCUCCAGAGCCCCUGUGGAAGGCUCCCAGCUUUGGGGGCAUUUUUGGUUUCUUAAUCUGCAUUUAGCUCCACCUCAGAGUGGGGCAUGGGGAACCUGAUUGGGAUUUAGAAGGUGACGAGGCAUUCUUACACUAAUUGUGCCCCUCGGGAUGCAUGGAAUACUAGGAGACACCAUGGCUUUUCACAUUCAGGUGCUCGUGUGAACAUCACCAACUGCCUCUAAACACAGGUAGCAGCAACAUGCAAUCUUUUGAUGGGAAGCAGUUAUUUCUUGAUCACUCGAGGGUUUUGAAGGCAGCCAGGCAGCUCAGGGGAAAAGCAGGUUCUACGAGAAGAGAGACAUGAUAUGCUCAGACAUUUCUGCAUCCUUGUCCUACACACAGUGUGAUCCACAGUGGUAAAGGUGAAGAAACUGAGAUUCACGAGUGUUUCAGAAAACUGCCUAAGAUGUUAGAACUAACAAGUCCUGAAGUUCAAACCCAAGUAUGACUGUCAACAUGAGGUUCUUUCUACAAACAGCAAUUCUGGAAGCUUCCAUUUACAGAGUGUUGCCCACAGAAGGGGCCUGGAAUACUGGUUGUUCAUGGAAUCUUCACUACUGCCCCAUGAAGUAGAGACAACGAUUAAGCCCAUUUUACCAAUGAGGAAAAUGGAAGCACAGAGAGACCUAAUAACCUUCCUAAGAUCACACAGUGAGACAGGACCCACAGUUGUUCUCUUUCCUCACCUCAUCACACUGCAGCCAUGACCAACCAAGAGGGCACAAUCGUCACUUAAGGCAUGAAGAAGCUCUGGUCAUAGGCUUGACUUGCAGGUGAGCCACCGAUCGGGGUUGCUCAAUGUGUCCUGAGCCCAAUUCAAGUCAGAUUGUGAAACCUUUGCUUCAACAGUCCCAGUGAUGGGAAGCUCAAUGGGAAGCGAGUCUCUCAGUCAGCUGCCAAUGAGUCUUUCCUUCCCUGAAUGCACAUAGUGGGUAUCAUAUUAAGAUGUGAGGGUUACAUUCUCUCCCCUUGAAUCUGGGCUGGCCCUGUGAUAUGAUGAGCAGAAUGUAGUAGAGGUGACACUCCAGAACUUCCAAGCCCAAAUCCAAGAUUAGCAGUUUCUCCUUCCUUCCCCUUGGGACACAAUCACAAGAGAAGCCUGGGCCCCAAGGAGAAGCCACAUGGAGGAGAACCAAGGUGUUCCAGUUGACAACUCUAAAAGACCUCCUGCCAACAGCCAGCACCAGCUGCCAGCAGGGGGAAUGAGCUGCUUUAGAUUGCCAGCCAGCAUGGAGACCCCAGGUGACUGCAGCCAGCGACAUCAUGAAGAGCAGCAGAACCAACCAGCUGAGCCCUGUCACCCCACAGAAUCACAAGAAUAACAAAACAGUCGGUGGCUUAAGUCAUUGAUCUCCUAGACAUUUUACUGUGCUGCUACCAAUAACUACCUUGUGAGGCAGCCUGUGUACCUGGAGACUGUUCCACCUUUAGGUGUUUUUUCCAUAAAGCUAAAUCCUCAUUCUUUCAUUUGUCUCCCUGGUUGGAGAUCUCCCUCAGGAACCACAUAGAACACAUGACAGAGAAUUAGAAAUGAAGGGGUAUGAGUUAUUAAAGACCAGCUUGUCCAUAUUGCUAACUAUACAGAUUAGUGAUUGAAGGCCAAACAGAUUCUGUGGCAUUCUCUGACCUCCCAUCCAGGUUGGGUACCCCACUCUGAGCUCCCACAAUCCCCUCUGCUUUUCCCACGAAAGCACUUACCACACCACACUACCUCCUAAUAACGUGGUAACAUCUCUUUCCAGGCAAGAGGCCAUAGGC